CAGUCGCCGCGGGAAAACCAGCACCUCGAGUGGUCAGGAGGUUUAUUGGGCCUAAAGCAUCCGUAGCCGGUUGCAUAAGUUUUCAGUUAAAUCUAUGCGCUUAACGUAUAGGCCGCCGAAAAUACUGUGCAGCUAGGGAGUGGGAGAGGUACACGGUACUCGAUAGGAAGGGGUAAAAUCCUUUGAUCUAUCGAUGACCACCUGUGGCGAAGGCGGUGUACCAGAACACGUUCGACGGUGAGGGAUGAAAGCUGGGGGAGCAAACCGGAUUAGAUACCCCUGUAGUCCCUGUCUCUUAUAC
This 301-nucleotide ribosomal RNA is filed under the name uncultured bacterium. RNAcentral describes it as "partial 16S ribosomal RNA". It matches the Rfam family "Archaeal small subunit ribosomal RNA", at positions 459 to 760 of the family's 1478-position model. The record is from RNAcentral.